This 292-nucleotide long non-coding RNA is filed under the name Setaria viridis. Its description in RNAcentral is "long non-coding RNA (SVIR_LNC005332)". The record is from RNAcentral. Lineage: Eukaryota; Viridiplantae; Streptophyta; Magnoliopsida; Poales; Poaceae.
GAAUACCUCCGCAUCAUGAAUGAGUUAGAACGGAAUGGGAGGGAGCGCACGAAGAAGAAUAAUUAGUUAUUUGUAUUUUUUGUUCUAAGGGCGACUAAUGUUUUGUCGGCCAUGUAACCUAUCGCCCGUACCGAAUGAAUGUAAUCGGCCGAUUUGGACGACUAUGUGUUUGAACCGAUUUGUAUCGGCUAUGUGUUUGAACCGAUUUGUAUCGGCUAUGUGUGGUCGUGUCACGGUUAAUUCCUUACGCUCCGAUCCAUAUACUGGGGUAGUAUCUUUUUAAGUACCUUUC